Molecule: ribosomal RNA, 253 nt
Filed under: uncultured bacterium
Lineage: Bacteria
Description: partial 16S ribosomal RNA
Rfam family: Bacterial small subunit ribosomal RNA
Source: RNAcentral
UACAGAGGGGGCAAGCGUUGUCCGGAAUUACUGGGCGUAAAGCGCGCGUAGGCGGCUUUGCAAGUCGGGGGUGAAAUCCCCAGGCUUAACCUGGGAACUGCAUUCGAGACUGCAUUGCUAGAGUAUGGGAGAGGGAAGUGGAAUUUCCGGUGUAGCGGUGAAAUGCGUAGAUAUCGGAAGGAACAUCAGUGGCGAAAGCGACUUCCUGGACCAAUACUGACGCUCAUGUGCGAAAGCGUGGGGAGCAAACAGG